Non-coding RNA from Rhopilema esculentum, 10149 nucleotides. Lineage: Eukaryota; Metazoa; Cnidaria; Scyphozoa; Rhizostomeae; Rhizostomatidae. The record is from RefSeq and is a predicted model, not a curated record.
AACUUUAUGGUGCUACGGCCGUAUGAUCUUAUUUGUAAACAACAGAAUUUUCUAGUAUGGCUUCCAACGUUCCAUAUUCUAACGAAGAGCUAAUGGCAUUCUUUACCAACAUGCAAAAUCAAAGCAGGGCACAAGUUAACUGGCGAACAGGGGCAGCUUCUGCCGAAACAGAGGCCUCAGCAUUGGUCGAUGAUGAAAAUUCAGCUGUUGUUACUGAGGGCAGUGAAGACGCUGACAGAAGUUUUGAUGAAAUGUUUGUUGAAGAUGUACGGUCGUACAAAUGCAUAUGUGACACUAGCUGCAGGGGUUUCAAAUAUACCCAGAUGAAACAGAAAGCUUGGGAGGUUAUUGCGGAAAAGUAUGGGAGGAAUGGUGAGUGUUAACUUUCAGUUUAAGCCCUCCUCGCCCUUGAAUCGUUUUGAAGCCAUAAGAGCACACAAAAUAGAUUUAUUCUGGAUUCAUUUUUCAUUAACAUUUUGUUUUUUGCUUAAUUGGGAAAAACUUACAAGCAAAUUACAAACGAUCUUUAGACAAAUAAGUUAUUACGAGACUCCAGGGUCUCAUAGGUUUUGAAAAUCUUUCUUAUUUGACAUGUAUGGUCUAAAAAUAAAAGUGCAUAUACUUUUCAUCUCACACCGUUUUUUCGUUGUAGUUGAUGACUUAAAGAAGAUUUGGAAAAACUUCAAAGAAAACCUUUCCAAAUGCCUAAAAAAGAGAGACUUGAUGACACGAUCUGGUGCUGCUGCAAGCUCACUGCCUGAAUGUAAGCUUUUUCACCAGCUACAAUUUCUUAGGGAUAAAGUAACAAAUUGGCCUACAGUCAGCAACUUGCCACAGGAAAGUGCCCCUAUGCAAGAAAUUCUGGGAAAAAGCUUGGCAUCGCCUGUUAGUCCUGUCCCUUUUGCCCCAAGUCCUGCAUCAAGCCUGGAAUCGAUGAGCACCAGGGAAACGAAAAAGAAAAACCACAACACUACUUCAAAGAAAACUAUUAAUUUCAGAUGAUGGGCAUCCCGAUAAACUUCUAUACGAAGCAUUAAAAGGAGAUAAUAGAGUGGAAGUUGAUGCUGACCAGAGUUUCGCAAACAGUAUUGUUCCAAUUUUGAGGAACCUCCCUCCAAGAAAGAACAGUCAAGUCAAAAUAGAAAUUCAGCAAUUGUUGCUUUGAUAUGAAUUUGACGAUGAUGAGAUCUAAUUCGCAAUUUUACAGUAAUUUAUUUUAGAAACACGAUAUGAAUUUUAUUUUAAAAUAUAUUUUACAAUCGUUGUAUUAAAAGAAAUAGCUUUACUCAAAUGUCAAAUGGAUCUGCUGUUCUAGUUAUUCUGUCUUUCUGCCAAUCAACUGAGCCUGCUUCUGAAUUGAAAUAGUUUUUAUAGUUUUCCCGAACCUGACGAGCAUCUCUUGAAUAACUAUGCGAGGCAGCAUUUCUGAUUGGUAAUAACCCAUCGCAGAUACAGUCCAGGUUUUUCCAGUCUCCUUCAGCAUAGCCUUGUGGGCAAUAGUUGCUUACUUCUCCAAAUUUUCUCCCAAACAUAAGGUAAUUAUGAAGGGCAACCACGGCUUUGGUAAUCGAAACAACUGUCUCAACCUCUGUAAUUAUUGGCCUUCUAAAAAUUCUAAAUCUCGAGGCACAUAUACUAAAAACAUUUUUCACUUGACGCCUAGCUCUGGAAAUACGGUAGUUAGUGAUUUGCUCCUCGGUACCCAUCGCAUUUCUUGCAUAUGGUUUCAUUAGGUAAGGCUUAAAGGAAAUGCCUCAUCUCCAACGAAAACAUACGGAAAAAAAUCAUUAGUCCCUGGCAACAUUCUAGCUUUAGGGAGUUUCAACAAACCAUUAUCCAUAGCAAAACCAAGCUUGAUUGCUGCAAAAACCCCUCCAUCACUUUGUCUUCCUGAAUCACCGAUGUCGAUCAUUGUAAAUUCGUAGUUGGCAUUCACAACAGCCAUCAAUACUAUACUGUGGGUCUUCUUGUAGUUAAAAAAGAAUGACCCACUGCGGGCAGGGGCUUGCAUAACAACGUGCUUUCCAUCUAUUGCACCAACACAGUUUGGAAAGUUCAAUUUCUCCUCAAAUUCUUCUGCUAUUUUUCUCCAUUCGUCUUCGCUACUUGGGACCUUAAGAUAUCCUGCUUUAAACAGCUCAGUCCAAAUUACUUCUGUAGUCUCUUUAACGAUCCUACUAACAGAAGUUUUACUCAUUCUGUAGCUUGCUGCAAUAGUAGUUUGUGCAUCUCCAGUUGCAAGAUACCUGAGAGUGACUGAUACGCGCUCUCCUGGCUGAAUUGCUUCCCUUUUUACACAACUCUUUAAAACUUUUGGAGCUACCAAUUGCAACAAAUGUUCGUAUUUUUUGAUGUCAUUCUAAAUUGCUGGUAAAAAAGCAUAUGAUCAUACAAUUUCAUCUCUCUGAUCAACAAAUGAUAUUCACCCUUCUCUUUUCGCUCUGCGUAUAACUUCCUAACCCAAAUCCUUUUAUUUUCCUUCUCUUUACUUCGUCGUAUUUGCCGUCUUCUUAACAAUAGCAGAACUAUAAUUUGCCUUCUUGUCAAACCCAUUCUGAAAAAUAUCUAUUGGCCUAAUGUUAUUGACCUUUUAUCGUGAAUUUUCUUUCGACCGAUGUCGAUCGAGGGCGGUCGAUUCGACCGCUUUCAUUUAAGUGGAAACUGGCCUUAAGAGGCUCGACCCCUCAUUUUCUGCUUGACUUUCCAAACUUUAUUGUCAUAACUCUCAAACAGUAUGGAGUAUGUUAGGGGCAAAAGGCUCAUUUUGAAGGUUUUUGUAUGGAGAAAUUCUUAGGGUUGUUUUUUGUCGUUUUCGGGCGUGGCUGAAAUUUCAUGGUGACGUCAUAGUACUGAAUUGCAGUGAUUUUUGAAAAACAAUUAAUUAAAUACAUGUUAUAAAUCAGAAAUAAUUGCAUCAAUUAAAAUAUCUCAUCGAAGCGAUUCCAAUGAUGGUAUUAGUUUUUCCGUAGCGUGAAGAGAUUAUUUUUUAAGAUGAAUUCAAAUUCAAACCUUCAUCAUUAGGUUGUUGUGAACCCUAAUGCGAGCCAUGAUCGUUUGGCAGCUACAUUUUUAGCUACAUUUUAAACGAUUGAGGGAAUUUGUUUAUCUGUUAUCUUCUUAUUUGUCAAACAAAGCCAGAUAAUCUCUUUUGUUCUGGCUGAUUGUUUACAUAAGGAUCGAAUAUCCCAUCCAGACAGCGACAGCAGGUACAGUUCGAAUUCGUAGUGGACAUGCCGUGAUCGAGUCAUCAUCUGAUUGCCUAGGCGAUCAUUCCUAAUCUAAUUGCAUUGGCUUUCACACUUCGAAUUACUUCAUUACUUUGCUAAUCAAUUGAAUAUGAUCCGAGUUUGAUAGGAUUUCAUCUCAUUAUCAGACAUGGAUCGUUCGACAUUUAUUUUGUGUUGUUGAAGACAGCAUGGUUGGAUUAUUCAGGCAGUGAGUUCAUCGUUUUUCGCUUAGUGGAAGAAAUAGUGGAUCAAUCGGAGCUUCGUGUUGCGUACAACUAUAAUGUGGCUGACCCCGCGUGUUCCAACCGCUUUAAUUUACUGAUUUGGUUCGAUCGAUUAUCCUCAUGGAUGGAUUUUCUUCAUCGUGAAAACUGUGGACAAAGGGAUUUUCCGUUGCUUACAAGGAGAGUAUUAUUUACCAAGAAAAUUCCUUUGGUGGAAUGGAACAAUUUUUUAUUGCAACUUGGACUCUGUCAAAGUGGGAUUUAUUGUCAAAAUGGAUAUUCUGUAUACUUGUACUUUAUUGAGGACAUCUAUUGGACUGGACAUUUAUGGAUUGAUUAAUAUAUUGCUGUUUAAUAGUAUCACUGAUAAUUGGAUUGUAUAUCAUUUAUUUCCAUUGAGAUUCAUCUCGUUCGAAAUGGUUUGUAUUUUUCCCAUUCUGGUUUCGCCUUGAAAUUGUUUUGAGGAGUGAAGAGAAAGACUGAGCGGGAAGGUAUGUUUGUAUUUCUUAUAAUUUUUAUUGUUCUUACUAUAAUAGAGCAUCAAUGUUUUUGCUUAAAUAUGGUUUACGGCCAGAAAUUUUUCAUUUCUGCUUUACUCAUGAUUUUUCUAACUCAGAAAAUAAUUUGCAUGGAUUUUAUUCUAUCGCUAAUGUCCCUAAACCAUAUUCGCAUUAUCGGGAGGGAUUCUUAAUAAUAGAAAUUUAUCUAUUCUGAAAUCAUAACAUUUGUUAUUUUUCUGCCUAAAACUAUAGCUGUAAAUUAUUCUUUCAAGUCAGAAACAUUUAUUGAAUGAGUUUCUAAACAACAUUAAUUUGUCUGUGUUCACUGUGCUCACAAUUUCAUGUAGCAUUCUAAGCACAUUAAUUAUGUUAAUAUUAUAAUUGGAGACUUUUGACUUCGUUUAUUUGUUUCAACAAUUGAAUCAAAGUUUAAUUUAUCAAUUACAAUAAAGUAUCACAUUAUUUCUGCAGAUGAAUUAGUGCAAAAAAACAUUUAUAAAACCAUUUCAAAUUUUGGUAAGUUGAUGGCUACUUCAUAGCUUUUAACAGUUUCACCAAACUAAUUGUUAAGUUUAGUUGAUAUUUCCUUUUUAUUCUAAUAAGAGAGUUAAUAUUGUCUUUCACUUGAUUGAAACUCGUUGGGUUUAUGAAGUCAUUUCUAAAGAUUAUCAAGAAAUUCCCAAAUCAAUUACAGUUCAUUAACUAAAAUUUCAUAUCUAGUAACUUUUGCGUAAAAAAUUAUAAAUUCCAGACCUUUCCCUGCUUAGUAUUUUCAAUAUGCUAAAUUUUCUGAUCAUUUGAAUGAACAUUUGAACAGUGGCAGAGACUUGGGGGGGGGGGGGCAAGAGGGACGACCGCCCCCAAUACUUUAGAGAACAAUGGUCUUUUGUUCUAAAACAAUGGGAAAUGUGAUGUCAUCUUUUUAAAACAAUAGGCUUGCCCUCCAAUAUUUGAUCAAGUGUCUGCCCCUGCAUUUGAAAUUAUUUGUACUGAAUGUAAUGUGCAAUUUAACUUGAGACAUAUAUAACCCCUUUCCCCCAUAUGCAACCCUCUUCCUCAUAAGGACAUAUUGCCCCUCCACAUAUGGUGUACACAAUUUGCAAUUCUGUAAUCAUUAAGCUAUGCUAAAUAUACAUUGUUGUUGUUUUAUCAUUUUAAGGCAAUUUAUUUAUAUCAUUCUAGUAUUUCCUUAUUGUAUUUGCAGAUGUGUUCCACUUGGCUUAAUAUUUCUUGUCUUGCUUGUUUUGCUUAAAUUCUUCUUAUAUUUGGUGAGUAUCAUUGGUCUUUUUUUAGGCUGAACACCUUCUAAUUCCUUUAUACAACACUCUUAGUCCAAUAAUAUGUAUGCUGAUCUUAACAUGCUAAACCCGAAUUUCAAAUUGUUUUAAGUUUAAAAAGGUUUUAUAAAUAUAAAACAUUGGGGCUAUGAUUGUUGAUUUCAUUUCACAAAAUUAUUUUUAUAUUAUUUUUUCUGCAAUUCUAAAGUUAACUGUAGAUGAGACAUUGAUGAAUUGAAUGUUGUUUUUUAACUAUUGAUACCCAUAUCAUAUUAUUUUUUUUCUUUAUAGUUUAAAUUAUUAUAUAUGUUUGGUUUGCGUUCAAGAGAGCUUAGGGAUAUCGCCAAAUCAGACUCACUGCAACUUCGCGAGCUUUACCCAUAUAUUUUAAAUUGAACUUGUUCCAGUUUAUUCUUUGGUUCAUUUACAAUAAACAGUUGUUGGUAAUUAUUGGAUUGCAUCCUGUUGUAUUCAUCAAGAUAUUUCAAAUUACAUUGUUGUUGGUAAUUAUUGGAUUGGAUCCUGUUGCCUUUUAUUGAGAUAUUUUAAAUUGUAUUGUUGAUACUGUUGUUACUGCGUUUUUGUUGGUAGAGGUUUGUUCCUUUUGUUUUGCCAAUAAGAGGUUUCCAAUUGUUACCUCUUCUAACAUUUUUAAACAUUCUGCAUCCAAAUGUGCAACUAUUACUGUCAUUAACUUUCAUCUGAUUUAUGUUUAUAUAACUGCAAACCAAAGAAGAGUUGAUGCUGUUACAAAGAUUCAGUUCAAAAUAUAUUAUUUUGCACAACAAUCACAAAGAUAAGACAUUUGAAUUGUAUUGUCUAAUUUCACUAAGGUUGAUCAGUAAUAUUUAUCUCUUUUUUUUCAGGAUUUUAUUAAACCCCAUUUUAAAACCCUUUUAUAAAAAUGGGAAAAGCUAAGAUAACAUGGAGUAUGGACAUGAAUGAAACACUGCUUAGUAUUAGGAAAUCCGCCUUAGCUAAGUAAGAAAAAGGUGAUGGGCGAGCAUUAAUGAACAUUUUUCUUGAGCACUGGCAGGAAUUAUUUCCAAAUUCUAAGGUUACUGUGAAUGCCUUGAAAAUAAAGCUGAGCAAGUUAACUAGGGGGGCAGAAGGCAAGGUAUCAACAGCAACUGAAACCGUCGGAAAUAUUGAUAAGCCCACAGAAACUAAGCAGGAUGAAUCAGAAAAUGUCAUUGAUAAUCAAUGGUCCACCCCAGUUGUUGAAACCACCCAAGGAAUUGCAAACAUGUUGAAGUUCAUGUUAAAGGAGUGAUUGGAACACUGAGCCAAAAAUAUACAAUCCUACAAAUUAAAUAGCUUAUAAACUGCAUAGUCAAAAACUGCAAUUAAAGUUCAACAUUUUUAAUUAGCUAAUCAAUCUCUAAUGAUCUUUGAUACAAGCAAAUAAAGACUGACCAAUCCUUUGGUUUUUUAAUAAUUGUGAAUUUUUUAAGCUCUUUCAAAUUACCCCAUCUUGUACAAUUCCCUCUAUUUAACAGUAAAACAGCUACCAAAUUUGGAAGGGUGGUAUCAAACAGGACUAUAAAAGCUUUAUUAAAUUAUUGAAAUAUUUGUUAGCAACCCUUUUACCAGCGAUUUCCUGGCUAUUUCCACAACUUAUAUACCAGCAGUUCUAUAUGAUGUUGAAGAGUUACGGCAUAAUUGGACAUGACACAUAAAGUCAAAUCGCAUUUUAGAAUAGCAAAAGUAUUCGUUAUCUUAUUAUUCUACAUGCAUAUAGUGGUUAAAGUGGCAAGAAUUUAAGUGUAGCGAUUUUUCUCUGCUUAUGUUUCAAUACAAUUGAUUACAAUAUGAAUUUUGAGGUUUAACUGCUUUAGAUAGUUUAUGCAAUAUUACCAAAAAAAUCAAAUUACUAAAUGUUUGGCAAGCUGCUAAAGGACAAAAAAUAUAUUUUAGAACCCUGACUUAAAUCAGGAUAUAAAAUGUGGUCACAAUUUGGAGCAUAAAACUGAACAGUUAUUGGGUCUACAUGGUGCACAAGGCAUGUAGCAAAUGCAACUGUAAAAACACCACAGUCCUUGUUGCUGAAUUGGUACAACAACAAGCUCGUGUUCUUUUCUACCAAGAAGUGAUGUCACUCUUUUGUAAUAACAUUGUUAUAUAAACUGUCAUACAAAUUAAUCUGACUCUCCAGACAACCAAAUAGAACUAACAAAAACUCGGUAUCCAGUAUACAGAAUUUGUAACAGAUCUGAGUUCACAACAUUGAAAUUUUUCCAAGGUUCCAGAAUGUUCGUCGAAAUCCAUCAACAUUAGGGGUUUGCUGUUGUAGCAAAACCUGAGCCUGGUAAAUUAUUGAGCCCAAAUAAAACAAUUAGAACAAGAGUCGAGGCACUGGAAAUUAAAAAAAGAAGCAACUUGAAUUGGUGUUAUCUAGGUUAGAAGGGGGAGACAGGAGUCAAUGAGCAAACAGGAAAUGCAAAGGUAGAUAUGUAACGUUUCAGGACUUGUAUUCUUCAGUAAUUACUAUUAUUAUGUUCAGCUAGAUCUUUGAUUAUGUUGCGUGUUAAUGUCACAUGUUUGUUUGUCACGCCUUUGUGUUAGUAACUCCCUUUCCGGGAAAUGUGCGUCACUGUCAUCGUGCUGUGUGAUGUUUCACAGUGUUCCUUUGUUUGUGUUUUAAUAUAAUGUAAUCCAACUUAGAAUAAUUGAGUCUCACUGUUUUUAACGAUAAACAUAACAUCAAAGAACGAGUAUCUCUUGUGUGCUAUCUACUUGGGGCUAGGCCCGUUGGCCUAGCCCAUCGCUCCACUAACGACCUGAGACCUGAUACUUCACCGUCAUAAGAAGAACCCUUAUCGCUACAGAUAAUUUGCAAACACUGAUUAGGCUUAAUUUCAGGACUACAGGAAUGGUAUCCCCCCAAGAACAAAAGGAUUAACUUUUCUUUAUGAGCUUGAUCGCCAGGUGGAGGAUGGUUUUAAACGAUUUUAUCCUGAAAGAGAAGUGAUUGACGCAAUUAUCAAAUGUAUUUCUCUUGUUAUCAAAUGUGUUUUCCUCUCAGCGAUUCUAUUAAAGCAAUGCAAGGGAAUCGUAUUCUGCGCUUUGCAAUAUGGUUCAGUUUCCCACUGCGUAACUGCAAAAUUUUCUAAUGUGAGUCUUAAACCUCCGAAAAAAGUGCAAAAUUGGGAUUUGGAAAGCAAAACCCAAAGUCAGCAAGGUGCAAGUGACAACCACAAUCAAAGAGAAAAAGGAAAUGAAGGGCGAUGAAGACCUGCUAGUAACAGAGAAAUUGUUAGCUGAAAUCCAGUCUUUAAAAUCAGAUGUGACAGCGUUGAAAGGGAAUUUGAAUAAGCAACUACCCCCAGAUGCUCUACAAGGAAACUAGCAAAUACACCGAGGCUUGAGGAAAUACAGCUGAUGGUGUGGACAUUUUUGUGAAGCAAGCAGAGGGAACAUACUACUUUAGAUUUACCUAUAGUUGGAUAUAAUGUAUUGGAAGAGUUACUAUGCAUCAGUGGUUUUGAAAAUCCAGAAUAUAACCUACUGGGUAAAUUAUCUGCAAGUUUACCAAUGAUGCACAAAAUGAAUUUUGUGCCCUUUUGAAUGCUAUAUUCGUGGAGAGGAAAGCACACUUUUCAGCUGUGAAGACAUAUAAGAUAGACACAAUAAUUAAGGCAGAAUACAUUGUUAAAUUAUCAUGUUGUCUCAAUACAGGUUUCUUUGCAAGGGACACUUCAGUAGUUUUGAAAAUGAUGUGAUGUGCCCCCUCCCCCCAGGGAUUUCAUUUAAUGAGUCACUGCUGAAUUUGAAAAGCAGUAUUUGUUCUAGAGUAGACGUAGUUUUUAAAAAUAUAAGUGCCGAUGACAUUGUACUAAAGGGCAGGACCCGAUUGGAUCACUACAUUUGGUUAGGACAGUUAUGCCAGCUGCAGUGAAACUUAUUGAAGAUUACAAGGGUAUGGGGAUUCAUUCGUAGACAGAGUAAGAAAUUACACUGAUGAAAGUUAUAACCCUGAUCUUGUACCUAAAGUCCCUUUGAGUAAAAAUUUAACCAUUUAUCAGAAAGAAUGUGUUCAGAGAAUGUUAUAUAAAGAAAGAGAUGUUGUCUAGCUAGUUUUUUUUCUUUUCCCUUGGCUGGUCUCCACCAUGACCCUUUUCCUGAUCUCCAGCACGCAUCUUUUCCUUUGCCUUCUUUUUCCUCUUUUUGCUGCGUUCUGGCUCCUGGUGGUCUUCUUCUUCAAGGUUUUGAAAGAGUCUCCAAGAGCUCCUCCAAGAGCAAAUGCUUGCGUGAAGAAUGUCUCAGCAGUUUCAUGUGUCGACAGGACUUGGAAAAAGGUGGUCAGCUGUGAAUCGUUGAAUAUUGAGAAUGGAGCAAUGGGCUCCAUGAGUGCCUGGAUUGCUUUUUGCCCUUUCUCGAAUUGUUCUCUAUUGAACAGAGGCGAUUUUUCCAUGACAGACAUGUUCUCGGACAGCGUUGCAUGGAGGUCUGAAAGGGCAGUCGUAGGCCGCAAAGCCACUCGCAAUUUUUAGGGCUUAGCCGGCUUAAAGCAGUGUCUUCUGUGAGUGUCUCUCUGCUUUUCUAGACGAGCGUAAAAAGUUUUUAUGCAAUUGAGAGAAGAAUGAAACACCUUCUCCCUGCUCUGCCUCCUUUGUCAAUGCCAUUCUCUGAAAAGGAGAAAAGGAAAACAUUGUAGCAAGGAGCAUUAGAAGAAGCAAGUGAAAUUUGCAGUUUUUCUUAACUUUCUGUGUUUUUCAGCGAUCUAGUUUAUAAGAUGAUUAUGCAGUUGCCUUUUUCUCCAGCCGUAGUCUAUAUACAAUAAGGGACAAUAUAGAAACUUAAUAUGACAAUAAUGUGUCAUAUCUGGAAAAAACUAUGAAAGAAGUACCAUGAAAUGUUACUCUUUGAAAGCGCGCUUUUAACAGCAAGAACCAUGGUAGGAAUGUGUAGACGGAGAGAA